GAUCACAAGUACUUAAAACUGAGAGGUUGGUGUCGACUACUGUCGACCGCUUUUUUUUAUUAAAAUAUGUGCUUGUGGACUUGGGGGCUUAUUAAUUAGACCUCCCUUUGUUUUCAUAGUAUGUUUUACUGUGAUUAAUAUAAUAUCAAAUUCAUCAAAUAGAGGUAAAACAGGACUUGAAUUGAAAUAUUAAUAUGGGUGAAAUACAUCAAUCAAUGGCAGAAGUAAGUGAAUGAUGCUCUUUUAAUACUAAAAUCAAGUUUGAUCAAAUGGAACUAAAUCAAGAGGUUAGUGAGGACUCCUGUAAAUCAGAAAUACAAGCUAAUGAGGUGAAUGAUGCUCUCUUUGAUACUAAAAUCAAGUUUUGUCAAAUGGAAGUAAAACAGGAGGUUAGUGAGGACACCUGUAAAACAGAAAUACAAGAUGAGGUGAAUGGCGCUGUUUUUGAUUACCUUAAAAUUGAGCUUAAUGAAGAGCUGGAGAAAGAAAGUACACAUAAUGCAUCUGAUUAUUUAGAAUCAAAUGAAGACUCUAUAAAAACUGAAAUAGAAGGAGUUGAAGAAAAACUAACAAAUAAAAAAAGUUUUCCCCUUGAAGAUAUACAAACUGAUGCAAGCAAAGUAUUCAAAGACCCUGUUAGAACUAAUGGUACUUUGAACCAAUAUCUAUCUGCUGUUACAUGUGAAGUUUGCACCAAACAAUUUUUCACAAAAAAUCUUUUAACCAUAGAUAUAAGUGAGAACAUCAAAAAAGGAAUUUACACAUGUAAAACAUGCACCAAAGACUUCUUAAAAAGUUUUGAUUCAAAGUCACAAGUGGAAACCCACAAUACUGGAGAAAAACCGUUUGAAUGUGAAAUUUGCUCCAAAUUGUUUUCACAAACAUGCCAUUUGAAUGAGCAUAUGAAACUACACACGGGAGAUAAACCUUUUAAAUGUGAAAUAUGCUCCAAAGUGUUUUCACUAAAAUCCAAUUUAAAUAAGCAUGCGAAAGUCCACAAGGGAGAUAAACCUUUUGCGUGUGAAGUAUGCUCCAAAACGUUUUCACUGAAAUGCAAUUUAAAUAAGCAUAUGAAAAUCCACACGGGAGAUAAACCUUUCACUUGUAAAAUUUGUUCCAAAGUGUUUUCACGUAAAUGCAAUGUAGAAAGACAUGAGGAAAUGCACUGGAGAAACACCUUUUACAUGUGAAAUUGGCUCCAAAAUCAAAAGGAUCAGCAAGCUGACCCUUGGAAGGGUGGACUUCUAUGUGUUUUCCCCGUGAAGAUAUACAAACUGAUGCAAGCAAAUUAUUCAAAGACCAUGUUAGAGUUAACGCUGCUUUGGACCAAUUUCUGACUGCUUCGACGAAAGUGAAAAGUGAAAAAAGUUAUGUUACCUGUGAAACUUGCGCCAAACAAUUUUCAACAACAAAUCAUUUAAAUGCAGAUAUCGGCGGGAACACCAGAAAAAGAAUUUUCACCUGCAAAAUUUGCACAAAAAACUUUUUAAAAAGUUCUCAGUCAAAAUCACAAGUGAAAACCCACAAUACUAGAGAAAAAUCCUUUAAAUGUGAAAUUUGCUCCAAAUUGUUUUCACAAAAAUGCCGUUUAAAUGAGCAUAUGAAAUUACACAAAGGAGAUAAACCUUUUUCAUGUGAAAUUUGCUCCAAAAUGUUUUCAAAAAAGGGUGAUUUAAAAAUUCAUCUCACAACACAUACUGGUGAAAAACCUUUUAAAUGUGAAAUUUGCUUCAAAUUGUUUUCACAAAAAUGCAAUUUAACUGUUCAUAUGAAAAUACACACAGGAGAUAAAUCUUUUUCAUGUGAAAUAUGCUCUAAAGUGUUUUCACUGAAAUGCAAUUUAAAUAGACAUAUGGAAAUUCACAUAGGAGAUAAACCUUUUUCAUGUGAAAUAUGCUCCAAAUUGUUUGCACUAAAAUCCAAUUUAAAUAGGCAUACUAAAAUCCACAUAGGAGAUAAACCCUUUGCAUGUGAAAUUUGCUCCAAAAUGUUUUCACAAAAGGUCGAUUUAAAAAUACAUCUUAGAACACACACCGGUGAAAAACCUUUUAAAUGUGAAAUUUGCUGCAAAUUGUUUUCCCAAAAAUCCAGCUUAACUGUUCAUAUGAAAAUACACAAAGGAGAUAAACCUUUUUCAUGUGAAAUAUGCUCUAAAACGUUUUCACAAAAAUGCCAUUUAAAUGAGCAUAUGAAAAUACACACGGGGGAUAAACCUUUUGAAUGUGAAAUUUGCUCCAAAAUGUUUUCACAAAAGGUAGAUUUAAAACUACAUCUUAGAACACACACCGGUGAAAAACCAUUUAAAUGUGAAAUAUGCUCCAAAUUUUUUUCACUAAAAUCCAAUUUAAAUGGUCAUAUGAGAAUACAUAAAGGAGAUAAACCUUUUAAAUGCACAAUUUGUUCCAAAUUGUUUUCACAAAAAUCAAAUUUAACUGUUCAUAUGAAAAUACAUACAGGAGAUAAAUCUUUUUCAUGUGAAAUAUGCUCCAAAUUGUUUGCACUAAAAUCCAAUUUAAAUAGGCAUACUAAAAUCCACAUAGGAGAUAAACCCUUUGCAUGUGAAAUUGCUCCAAAAUGUUUUCACAAAAGGGCGUUUUAAAAAUGCAUCUUAGAAUACACACCGGUGAAAAACCUUUUUCAUGUGAAAUAUGCUCCAAAUUGUUUGCACUAAAAUCCAAUUUAAAUAGGCAUACUAAAAUCCACAUAGGAGAUAAACCCUUUGCAUGUGAAAUGUGCUCUAAAAUGUUUUUACAAAAAGGCGAUUUAAAAAUGCAUCUUAGAAUACAUACCGGUGAAAAACCAUUUAAAUGUGAAAUUUGCUCCAAAUUGUUUUCCCAAAAAUCCACGUUAACUGUUCAUAUGAAAAUACACAAAGGAGAUAAACCUUUUUCAUGUAAAAUAUGCUCUAAAGUGUUUUCACAAAAAUGCCAUUUAAAUGAGCAUAUGAAAAUACACACGGGGGAUAAACCUUUUGAAUGUGAAAUUUGCUCCAAAAUGUUUUCACAAAAGGUCGAUUUAAAACUACAUCUUAGAACACACACCGGUGAAAAACCAUUUAAAUGUGAAAUAUGCUCCAAAUUGUUUUCACUAAAAUCCAAUUUAAAUUGUCAUAUGAAAAUACAUAAAGGAGAUAAACCUUUUAAAUGCACAAUUUGUUCCAAAUUGUUUUCACAAAAAUCAAAUUUAACUGUUUAUAUGAAAAUACACACAGGAGAUAAAUCGUUUUCAUGUGAAAUAUGCUCCAAAUUGUUUGCACUAAAAUCCAAUUUAAAUAGGCAUACUAAAAUCCACAUAGGAGAUAUACCCUUUGCAUGUGAAAUUUGCUCCAAAAUGUUUUCACAAAAGGUCGAUUUAAAAAUACAUCUUAGAACACACACCGGUGAAAAACCUUUUAAAUGUGAAAUUUGCUGCAAAUUGUUUUCCCAAAAAUCCAGCUUAACUGUUCAUAUGAAAAUACACAAAGGAGAUAAACCUUUUUCAUGUGAAAUUGCUCCAAAGUGUUUUUACAAAAGGGCGUUUUAAAAAUGCAUAUUUCACAUGAAAAAGGUUUUUCACCGGUGUGUAUUCCAAAUUGUAGUCCAAAUUGUUUGCACUAAAAUCCAAUUUAAAUAGGCAUACUAAAAUCCACAUAGGAGAUAAACCCUUUGCAUGUGAAAUGUGCUUAAAAAUGUUUUUACAAAAAGGCGAUUUAAAAAUGCAUCUUAGAAUACACCCAAUCUUAGAAUUUGUGAAAUGUGCGCCAAAUCGUUUUCACGAGGACCCCAUUUGCAAAGACAUCUUAGAAUACACACUGGAGAAAAAUCUUGAAAAAAUCCGCUUUAAAAAAAUCUGACAAUACAAACUGGAGAUAACCUUUUGCAUUUAAAGUCUGCUCAUUUCUCAUCCACUCUCCUUUCAUUUGGUUUAAUUCGACGAAUCGUUGAAUUUUGUAACUCAGUCAGAGGACUUCUUUGAGUCAAUAAAUCAAAUUUGCCUUAUUUAUUGCCAGUGUUCACUAUUUAUCGCUACACAUCCAUUUAUAACGAAGAUACGAUUCGAAACAAAUGAAUGCGUUUAAAUAGCAUUGGACCAAGAUUAUGCGCCUACCCCCUUAAAACUACCCAAUUAAAAAAACAUGACAAUAAAACAUUUUGCAUAUUCGACAUGUAUUUUACAUUAGUCUAUACUUAUUAAAUUGUCACGAUAGUGUCCAAUACAUGCAAAAAUUAAAACUGUCGAUAUUCUUACUGUAAUUAUGUACAUAUUCAUAUUAUCAUAUUAAAUUACUAUCAAAUGAA
This 4277-nucleotide unclassified non-coding RNA is filed under the name Diabrotica virgifera virgifera (western corn rootworm). RNAcentral describes it as "zinc finger protein OZF". Lineage: Eukaryota; Metazoa; Arthropoda; Insecta; Coleoptera; Chrysomelidae. The record is from RNAcentral.